GUAGAUAUGUCUCUCCAGUAGACUGCAGCACUUUCCAGUAGAACCUUCUGCAGUGACGGAAAUAGUCUGUAUCUACACUGUUCAAAAGAGUAAUCACUAAUCACAUCAACCAGAACCUGGAUUUGUCACUUCUGUGGGGAGCAGAAAGAACAUCAGUGGAUAAGUAGAGUUCUCUCUUUUUAUAACUUUUAAUGCCAUUGUAACACAAACUAUGGUUUGGAUUCCACUUCUGUUAAGAUAGGGCUGCAUACGAGAUGUGAAACAUUACUGAAUUUAAAAUGUGCAACUACAUAUGCAAGCUGACAUUUUAUAAUGAUUUUGCCAGCUAUCUGGACUCCAUUAUUAUGAAGAAAUAAGCCUGUAAUCACACCUUGGAAAAUAAUUCCACCAUGCUUUCUCUUUUGUUUUUGAUCUACUACCUAAAAUCACUGCAUAUCCUGAGGUUGAAACAGACAGAAUGGUGGCCUACCAUGGCAUUUUGUGAAGAUUUCAUUAGAGAAAACAUAUGACACAGCAUGAAAACCAUCAUUUCCACAAACUACAUCCUCUGUUUUUUUUAAAUUGGAAAUACACUAUUAGAGACAGAGGUUCAUUUGUUACAUCAAACAUGGAAGUUUGUCCUCAAGGCUAUUGAACAUCUGAAUACUUACAAGCAAUUGCCACUGGUUUAGUUGCUUCUGGUUUAGUUUCAUCUAUAUAUUCCCUGGUGGCUCCGUCGGUAAAGAAUCUGCCUGCAAUUCAGGAGACCUGGGUUCAAGCCCUGGUUUAAGAAGAUCCCCUAGAGGAGAACAUGGCAACCCACUCCAGUAUUCUAGCCUGGAGAAUCCCCAUGGACAGAGGAUCCUGGCCUGCUGCAGUCCAUGGGAUCACAGAGUCAGACAUGACUGAGUGACCAAGUACAGCACAGCAUUAGAACCAAGGGCUUCCCAGGUGGUGCUAGUGGCAAAGAACCUUCCUGCCAAUGCAGGACACAUAAGAGAUGUGGGCUUAAUCCCUGGGUCGGGAACAUCCGCAGAAGGAGGGCAUGGCACCCUACUCCUGUAUUCUUCCCCGGAGAAUCCCAUGAACAGAGGAGCCUGGUGGGCUACAGUCCAUAGCAUCUCAAAGAAUCAGACACACCUGACGUGACUGAACACACAUGCAUGCACUAGAACCAAAGCUGGUGAGCAGAACAAGUAAAGCUGGACAGGGGAGAACAAACUAGCUCACUUGAAAUGAACCCUUUGCAUUUGAAGGCCUUUCAAUUUACCCCAUUAGCAAUAAACUCUAGAGAGCAUAGGUGCCUACCUUCCUUGAUUUUCUUGGGAUUUGUCCAGAUUUAGCUCAUUUCAGAACUGUCAUUAGAUGCAGCUCAUGAGAAAUUUAUCCUAUGAGAUUCAUGGUCAUUUGUGGAUGUUUUCAUUGAGUUCAGUGAACUAGUACACAGUUCUAGUACAAUGUAAUCAGAAGGAAUAUCACUGAACUACAGAGGAUUCUGAGUUUUUCUGUAAGCUCUAUUACAGGACAAAUGCCACUUAACACCUCUGAGACUCAGUUUCUCUCUCUAUUCAAUUGACUGGCUUUGUUAUAUAACAUUUUCUGAUAAUAAAAUUCCAUCAUUUCCCCUCACUUCCUGUCUCAAAUGAAAUCAGAGAUAUAUUGAGUAUUAAUAUACUUAAUAUAAGGAUCAAUAAGAAUCCUUAUAUGGAUCAAUUCAUUAUUU
Capra hircus (goat) is the source of this 1702-nucleotide long non-coding RNA. Lineage: Eukaryota; Metazoa; Chordata; Mammalia; Artiodactyla; Bovidae. The record is from Ensembl.